Molecule: ribosomal RNA, 215 nt
Filed under: uncultured bacterium
Lineage: Bacteria
Description: partial 16S ribosomal RNA
Rfam family: Bacterial small subunit ribosomal RNA
Source: RNAcentral
UGAGAACCUUCCCUAUGGUUCGGAAUAGCUCAGGGAAACGUGGGGUAAUACCGGAUAAGCCCUUCGGGGAAAGAUUUAUCGCCAUUGGAUGGGCCCGCGUCGGAUUAGUUAGUUGGUGAGGUAACGGCUCACCAAGGCAACGAUCCGUAGCUGGUCUGAGAGGAUGAUCAGCCACACUGGGACUGAGACACGGCCCAGACUCCUACGGGAGGCAG